UGUAAAAAAAUUCAUUUAUUUUUACUGUUAAAGACUGAUAUGCUUAACGGAACAAUCACGCAGUGACACAUGGUGUGUCACAUGUACGUCAUGUUGAUGUACAGAGACUAGUUUUUAACUGUAGAAUUGGAUGAAAUUUUUAACA
This is a non-coding RNA of Gossypium hirsutum (cotton), 145 nucleotides long. Lineage: Eukaryota; Viridiplantae; Streptophyta; Magnoliopsida; Malvales; Malvaceae. The record is from Rfam.